ACGGGAGGCAGCAGUGGGGAAUAUUGCACAAUGGGCGGAAGCCUGAUGCAGCGACGCCGCGUGAGGGAUGACGGCCUUCGGGUUGUAAACCUCUUUCAGCAGGGACGAAGCGCAAGUGACGGUACCUGCAGAAGAAGCGCCGGCCAACUACGUGCCAGCAGCCGCGGUAAGACGUAGGGCGCGAGCGUUGUCCGGAUUUAUUGGGCGUAAAGAGCUCGUAGGCGGCUUGUCGCGUCGAAUGUGAAAACCCGAGGCUCAACCUCGGGCUUGCAUUCGAUACGGGCAGGCUAGAGUUCGGUAGGGGAGACUGGAAUUCCUGGUGUAGCGGUGAAAUGCGCAGAUAUCAGGAGGAACACCGGUGGCGAAGGCGGGUCUCUGGGCCGAUACUGACGCUGAGGAGCGAAAGCGUGGGGAGCGAACAGGAUUAGAUACCCUGGUA
This 439-nucleotide ribosomal RNA is filed under the name uncultured Actinoplanes sp. Its description in RNAcentral is "partial 16S ribosomal RNA". It matches the Rfam family "Bacterial small subunit ribosomal RNA", at positions 341 to 792 of the family's 1533-position model. Lineage: Bacteria; Bacillati; Actinomycetota; Actinomycetes; Micromonosporales; Micromonosporaceae. The record is from RNAcentral.